This 253-nucleotide ribosomal RNA is filed under the name uncultured bacterium. Its description in RNAcentral is "partial 16S ribosomal RNA". It matches the Rfam family "Bacterial small subunit ribosomal RNA", at positions 524 to 776 of the family's 1533-position model. The record is from RNAcentral.
UACGGAGGGGGCUAGCGUUGUUCGGAAUUACUGGGCGUAAAGCGCGCGUAGGCGGACCAGCAAGUCGGGGGUGAAAGCCCGAGGCUCAACCUCGGAACUGCCUUCGAUACUGCGGGUCUCGAGUCCGGGAGAGGUGAGUGGAAUUCCUAGUGUAGAGGUGAAAUUCGUAGAUAUUAGGAAGAACACCAGUGGCGAAGGCGGCUCACUGGCCCGGUACUGACGCUGAGGCGCGAAAGCGUGGGGAGCAAACAGG